UACGUAGGGGGCAAGCGUUGUCCGGAUUUAUUGGGCGUAAAGAGCUCGUAGGCGGCUCGGUAAGUCGGAUGUGAAACCUCCAGGCUCAACCUGGAGACGCCAUCUGAUACUGCCGUGGCUUGAGUCCGGUAGAGGAGCAGGGAAUUCCUGGUGUAGCGGUGAAAUGCGCAGAUAUCAGGAGGAACACCAGCGGCGAAGGCGCUGCUCUGGGCCGGUACUGACGCUGAGGCACGAAAGCGUGGGGAGCAAACAGG
RNAcentral lists this ribosomal RNA (254 nucleotides) under uncultured bacterium. RNAcentral's name for it is "partial 16S ribosomal RNA". It matches the Rfam family "Bacterial small subunit ribosomal RNA", at positions 524 to 776 of the family's 1533-position model. The record is from RNAcentral.